AUAUGAGCCGUAGCUAGUGGCGCGAGAUGAGAAUAUUGUCACGGAGAUAACGACCGGAGAGAAUAUUAUUCUUUAAUAUUGUUGCGAAAUUAAAGCGAUUUCGGAAUGAAUCGAGCGCUCAAAUAGUAUACCUCCAACUCCGGACGACAUCUUCGAUACGGUUCGGUAGUUUUUUGGCCCGAUCGAACUGAAAGUGCCUGCAAUUAACCGGACGGAAAGGACAGACGACCCUGCAGGUAUUCUAUGCGCGACGUGUCGUGCCCGCGAAAAAUCCAUAACGCCAGGGGAAGAAAACUGCUCUAUUCGAGAAUAGAUAGCGAUGUUACUGUUGUCGGUGUAUCGAGAUCGCGUCGGAUCGUAACGCACAAAAUUGAAAUUUACGAUAUAGUUUUUCGAGUGGCGAGCGUCGCGGCGACGUUCGCGCUCUAUAAUAUUAUGUGCACCGCCGUAUAAAAUAAUAAUGAUAAUAUAAUGCAAUAAAACGCUACCGUU
Non-coding RNA from Cinara cedri, 492 nucleotides. Lineage: Eukaryota; Metazoa; Arthropoda; Insecta; Hemiptera; Aphididae. The record is from the annotation of a GenBank genome assembly.